AGCAAUUCUGUAUUAAAUGUUACAUGUAUAUGGCAGGCGGGUAGGAUCAGUAACAAUUGUUCUGUAUGGCUGGAGUCAGAAUCCAAUGACCCAUCCUUCUUCAUGCUUGCUCUAUGCUCUUUUAGAGCGCUAGCUGCAGCCUAGUCUUUGGUCCACAGCAGGAAUUUGGUACAAACACCAACCUCUGAAAGAGACAUCCCUGAAUGCUUCUUCCAGAUACUCCACGCCUUCUUGUCCUAUUUCAUGUGGCGCUUAGACAUACCAGCUUUUCCCCUUUGUCUGACUUGUCAUCCAGCUCUCGUACAACUUAGUUGAAAUUAGACAUCGAUGGAACCCAGCGUCUUUGUUGGGGCAUUCGUCACAGGAUUUCUGAACUUACAGUGAUCUACCGUCAUCCUCUUCCUGAAGCAGAGGGAAGUAAGAACAGAACAAUUCUGACUGACAACACAGAGGAGUCCAGAGAUGGGUGAUGAUCAUUUUAGGGAUGUUGGAAACAGCGAGAGAGCACACGCUGCCACAGAAUCACUUCUCAGCCCCUUUGGUUGAGCCUGGGGAUCCCCACUUCUCUGAUACAGGAACUCAUGCUAUGCCUUUCCAGGUGUUAUAAGAAUGAAACCCACGGUUCAUUGGUAUCAACAUUCUUACUUCCCCCAGACAAACACACAUGCACGCACACACACAAACACACACUAACUCUAGAUUAAACUCUUUAGCAGGUCAGCCCUCUUAGUCACAUCAAGGGAGAAUUUUUCCUUUUGCUCUGGAGCAUAUUGUCUUCUGAGGAGAGGGCUGAGGCCCUUCUCCCUUUCUAUCAAAAUGUCAAAGUUGGCUUUUCCAUCAUUACAUUUUAUACAGCAGUGCUGGCCCCACCGCAAAGUGUUCUCAACGUCACUGCUUUGCUUAUUAACCGCACACCUCCAGGUGUAAAUAACGCCACGGCGCCCAGCUUGAACAGAGCAGAGGCAGCACCCCAGCUUGAACAGAGCAGAGGCAGCACCCCAGUUUGAACAGAGCAGAGGCAGCACCCCAGCUUGAACAGAGCAGAGGCAGCACCCCAGGCCUCAGUUUGUCUUUUGCCUCUGAUUCUUACCAAAUGUUUUUGUUUCCUAUGUUUGACAAAACGUCAAAACUUUAUUUCUCUUAUUUUUGUUUAAAAAAAAAAAUGCCAUAGGCAGGAGAGGACACCCAGAAAGGUCUGUCAGCCCCCACACCUUGAGGUGGAGUGAGCAAAGGAAGCCAGACCCCUGCCUGACAUGUGGCCCACUGCAGUAGAAGCCAUGGCUCUGUGCAGUUUGAGCAUUGGAGAAUGGGUACGAAGGGACAGAGAGUUGAGUGGGAUUGUGGUGCAUGAUGUGAAACUCACAAAGAAUCAAUAAAAAGUUUUUAAAAAAUCA
Molecule: long non-coding RNA, 1394 nt
Organism: Mastomys coucha (southern multimammate mouse)
Lineage: Eukaryota; Metazoa; Chordata; Mammalia; Rodentia; Muridae
Exons: 3
Source: RefSeq, a predicted model, not a curated record